GACGAACGCUGGCGGCGUGCUUAACACAUGCAAGUCGAACGGUAAGGCCCUUCGGGGUACACGAGUGGCGAACGGGUGAGUAACACGUGGGUGAUCUGCCCUGCACUUCGGGAUAAGCCUGGGAAACUGGGUCUAAUACCGGAUAGGACUCCGGACUGCAUGGUCUGGGGUGGAAAGCUUUUGCGGUGUGGGAUGGGCCCGCGGCCUAUCAGGUUGUUGGUGGGGUGAUGGCCUACCAAGGCGACGACGGGUAGCCGACCUGAGAGGGUGACCGGCCACACUGGGACUGAGAUACGGCCCAGACUCCUACGGGAGGCAGCAGUGGGGAAUAUUGCACAAUGGGCGCAAGCCUGAUGCAGCGACGCCGCGUGAGGGAUGACGGCCUUCGGGUUGUAAACCUCUUUCAGCAUCGACGAAGCGAAAGUGACGGUAGGUGCAGAAGAAGGACCGGCCAACUACGUGCCAGCAGCCGCGGUAA
Molecule: ribosomal RNA, 478 nt
Filed under: uncultured bacterium
Lineage: Bacteria
Description: partial 16S ribosomal RNA
Rfam family: Bacterial small subunit ribosomal RNA
Source: RNAcentral